This 72-nucleotide transfer RNA is filed under the name Schistosoma japonicum. RNAcentral's name for it is "tRNA-Leu". The record is from RNAcentral. Lineage: Eukaryota; Metazoa; Platyhelminthes; Trematoda; Strigeidida; Schistosomatidae.
AGCUCAGUGGUCCAAUGGUAAAACGCUCGUCGCAAAACCAAAGGGUCCUGGGUUCGGUCCCCGAUGGGGUUG